AACGGUGAAGGGACCAGCUUGCUGGUUCUGGAUGAGUGGCGAACGGGUGAGUAACACGUGAGUAACCUGCCCCCUUCUUCUGGAUAACCGCAUGAAAGUGUGGCUAAUACGGGAUAUUCUGGGUCUGUCGCAUGACGGGUCUGGGAAAGAUGCGCCUUUGGGUGUUUUUGGUGGGGGAUGGGCUCGCGGCCUAUCAGCUUGUUGGUGGGGUGAUGGCCUACCAAGGCGGUGACGGGUAGCCGGCCUGAGAGGGUGGACGGUCACACUGGGACUGAGACACGGCCCAGACUCCUACGGGAGGCAGCAGUGGGGAAUAUUGCACAAUGGGCGCAAGCCUGAUGCAGCGACGCCGCGUGAGGGAUGGAGGCCUUCGGGUUGUGAACCUCUUUCGCCAGUGAAGCANGCCUGUCCCUUUUGUGGGUGGGUUGACGGUAGCUGGAUAAGAAGCGCCGGCUAACUACGUGCCAGCAGCCGCGGUAAUACGUAGGGCGCGAGCGUUGUCCGGAUUAUUGGGCGUAAGAGCUCGUAGGCGGCUGGUCGCGUCUGUCCUGAAUCCUCUGGCUUAACUGGGGGCUUGCGGUGGGUACGGGCCGGCUUGAGUGCGGUAGGGGAGACUGGAACUCCUGGUGUAGCGGUGGAAUGCGCAGAUAUCAGGAAGAACACCGGUGGGGAAGGCGGGUCUCUGGGCCGUUACUGACGCUGAGGAGCGAAAGCGUGGGGAGCGAACAGGAUUAGAUACCCUGGUAGUCCACGCCGUAAACGUUGGGCACUAGGUGUGGGGGGCCUUUUCCGGGUUUUCCGCGCCGUAGCUAACGCAUUAAGUGCCCCGCCUGGGGAGUACGGCCGCAAGGCUAAAACUCAAAGGAAUUGACGGGGGCCCGCACAAGCGGCGGAGCAUGCGGAUUAAUUCGAUGCAACGCGAAGAACCUUACCAAGGCUUGACAUGUGCCGGUCGGCUCCGGAGACGGGGUUUCCUCCUUGUGGGGCCNGUUCACAGGUGGUACAUGGUUGUCGUCAGCUCGUGUCGUGAGAUGUUGGGUUAAGUCCCCGCAACGAGCGCAACCCUUGUCCCGUGUUGCCAGCACGUUGUGGUGGGGACUCGCGGGAGACUGCCGGGGUCAACUCG
RNAcentral lists this ribosomal RNA (1126 nucleotides) under uncultured Actinomyces sp. RNAcentral's name for it is "bacterial SSU rRNA". It matches the Rfam family "Bacterial small subunit ribosomal RNA", at positions 65 to 1165 of the family's 1533-position model. Lineage: Bacteria; Bacillati; Actinomycetota; Actinomycetes; Actinomycetales; Actinomycetaceae. The record is from RNAcentral.